Molecule: long non-coding RNA, 653 nt
Organism: Ictalurus furcatus (blue catfish)
Lineage: Eukaryota; Metazoa; Chordata; Actinopteri; Siluriformes; Ictaluridae
Exons: 3
Source: RefSeq, a predicted model, not a curated record
UCUCUGCACGGCCCUGUAGCGCUGUGCUGAUUGGCCUGUACCGCUGACACACAACUCAAGACCAAUGGAUGCACGCGUAAAAUGUUUACUUGUGCUGAUUACGCGUUUGAUUUUCUCAGCCUCUGAGUGGUCAAUCAUGUCGAGUUUGGGCUUGUUUGAAAGCUAGAAGUAUCUACAAUUGGUCCAUGUGGGUGUCAAUCAAGUUAGACUGCCCGAUUAAAAUUUAGGAAGCGGGUUGUUCAGCAUAGCCAAAGCAGAUUAGCUUUUUUUUAAGAUGGUGUCUCAGUUUAGUUUAUGGCUAAAUACUAAAUUCCAGAGGGGUGGGAUAUCAAAAAACUUAAUGCAUUUUGAAGAGGACAUUUGUGACUAAAUAUGGAACUUUGCGUUUGUUUUCUUCAAUAAAGCUGAUGGACUUUAUACCGAUGGAAAUGUGCAUGAUUUAUAAAACCGCGAGUGAACUGGAUUUUCGUGUAUGUAGGAAAUGUAAGUGUUUUCAUGGAGAGGUGUGCAUUGUUUGCCCAGCAGGGAGCUCAAACUCCGCCCCUUUCCCAUCCCCCUGCUCACCAGCAGGUGCUGCUCUUCUGCAUGACCUCAGCACGGUGGUAUCCAGACAGUUUGCAGAAUCCAUCAUUACUGUAGACGAUGGGCCAGUC